RNAcentral lists this ribosomal RNA (418 nucleotides) under uncultured bacterium. RNAcentral's name for it is "bacterial SSU rRNA". It matches the Rfam family "Bacterial small subunit ribosomal RNA", at positions 355 to 787 of the family's 1533-position model. The record is from RNAcentral.
UGGGGAAUAUUGGGCAAUGGGCGCAAGCCUGACCCAGCAAUGCCGCGUGAAGGAAGAAGGCCCUCGGGUUGUAAACUUCUUUUAUCAGGGACGAAGGAUGUGACGGUACCUGAUGAAUAAGCUCCGGCUAACUACGUGCCAGCAGCCGCGGUAAUACGUAGGGAGCAAGCGUUAUCCGGAUUUACUGGGUGUAAAGGGCGCGUAGGCGGGAUGGCAAGUCAGAUGUGAAAUCCAAGGGCUCAACUCUUGAACUGCAUUUGAAACUGUCGUUCUUGAGUACUGGAGAGGUUGACGGAAUUCCUAGUGUAGCGGUGAAAUGCGUAGAUAUUAGGAGGAACACCAGUGGCGAAGGCGGUCAACUGGACAGCAACUGACGCUGAGGCGCGAAAGCGUGGGGAGCAAACAGGAUUAGAUACCC